GAAUUCACUAGUGAUUCAGGCCUAACACAUGCAAGUCGAACGGUAACAGGAAGCAGCUUGCUGCUUCGCUGACGAGUGGCGGACGGGUGAGUAAUGUCUGGGGAUCUGCCUGAUGGAGGGGGAUAACUACUGGAAACGGUAGCUAAUACCGCAUAACGUCGCAAGACCAAAGAGGGGGACCUUCGGGCCUCUUGCCAUCAGAUGAACCCAGAUGGGAUUAGCUAGUAGGUGGGGUAACGGCUCACCUAGGCGACGAUCCCUAGCUGGUCUGAGAGGAUGACCAGCCACACUGGAACUGAGACAUGGUCCAGACUCCUACGGGAGGCAGCAGUGGGGAAUAUUGCACAAUGGGCGCAAGCCUGAUGCAGCAAGGCCGCGUGUAUGAAGAAGGCCUUCGGGUG
This 401-nucleotide ribosomal RNA is filed under the name uncultured bacterium. Its description in RNAcentral is "bacterial SSU rRNA". It matches the Rfam family "Bacterial small subunit ribosomal RNA", at positions 34 to 424 of the family's 1533-position model. The record is from RNAcentral.